GGGGGGCUACCGGCUAAGACGAAGCCGAUUCAGAUUGGAGCAAAUCGAACAUCGAUUUGAUCCUGUCGUACCGCGUAAGCAGCCAAGAUGGCGAUCCCCGAUUCGUGACGUCACAUGAAGUUCGGCAAGCCGAUUGAACGAAUGAUUUCAGUACUUUUGAUACUUAGAUCGGUACCGCGUAAAAAAUCGAAGUUCGGCGUCUGAAGCCGAUUCCCAUUGGAAGUGUCAGUUGAAGCCGGGCACUUUUCAGUAACCGUGAUCAAUUUUAAUUUCUUAUUUUCACUGUUUUUCAACAAUAUUAGGAACUAUUUACGGUGGGCGACACAUUUUAGAAACAUCUUAAUCAAUAUAAAAUUGAUAUCGGCGUGGAUUUUCGUGUUUAAAUACCUAAAUACAGUGUUAUGGAGAUAGUCGUAUUGUGGGCUGCUGCGGAAGAAAAUGUCUUCAGAAUCUUGAGCAAAUCGAUUGCAGGAUACUUCGAGAGAAAAGCCAGUAUAUACUUCUCACAGGUACAUCUAUUUAUAACAUUAUUUCUGACAAGUGGCUCAAUGUUUACAGAGGAAAAGUUGCUGAACUUACUAGAAGCGAUUUUUGAUCAUUUCAUACUUAUCUAUUUUGUUUUGUUUCAGAGAGUAGCUACAUUGAUAAUUUUAGAUUAUCAAAAGAUGCAUUUCGGACUUUGUAUCAUGACUUAGGACCAUAUCUGAAGGAGGUCCAAUGCUCUACAACUGUGCAACCGACUUUAAGUGACAAAUGCCCUCAAUCAGCCUGCCAUCGUGAGAUAAUAUAUCAAGUUUCCUCGGACAGAGUAGAAGUCUCCAGAGGUUUCAAUGACAAAUUUGGAUUUCUUGGAGUACUUGGAUGCAUCCACGGCACACACAUUGCCAUUAUCCAACCUCACGAGUGGGAAGAGGCCUUCUUCAAUAGUUUGUGAUGGAGAUAUGUGCAUUACUAUGGGAGUGUUAGUGCUAGACUGCUAGCCAAGAUAACCAUAUUUGGAACAACAGCACUUUGAG
RNAcentral lists this long non-coding RNA (1016 nucleotides) under Pectinophora gossypiella (pink bollworm). RNAcentral's name for it is "uncharacterized LOC126366682". The record is from RNAcentral. Lineage: Eukaryota; Metazoa; Arthropoda; Insecta; Lepidoptera; Gelechiidae.